Molecule: ribosomal RNA, 265 nt
Filed under: uncultured archaeon
Lineage: Archaea
Description: partial 16S ribosomal RNA
Rfam family: Archaeal small subunit ribosomal RNA
Source: RNAcentral
ACACGACUACAUUAGAUACCCGCGUAGUCCCAGCCCUAAACGAUGCGCGUUAGGUGUAUCGGUGACCACGAGUCACCGAGGUGCCGAAGGGAAACCGUGGAACGUGCCGCCUGGGAAGUACGGUCGCAAGGCUGAAACUUAAAGGAAUUGGCGGGGGAGCACAACAACGGGUGGAGCUUGCGGUUUAAUUGGAUUCAACGCCGGAAAUCUUACCGGGACCGACAGCAACAUGAAGGCCAAGCUGAAGACUUUGCCGGAUUAGCUG